Molecule: RNA transcript, 6026 nt
Organism: Onthophagus taurus
Lineage: Eukaryota; Metazoa; Arthropoda; Insecta; Coleoptera; Scarabaeidae
Source: RefSeq, a predicted model, not a curated record
CCGACACCGGGGCGAGGACAUUGCACCUGUGGCUUCGACGGGGCCGAUUAUUAGUCAUCGGAACAGUACUCCAUCUACCGGCUGCGCACGAACCGGAACGAAGUGACUAUAGUUGUAAUCCCCCCUUUUCUUUCGCAAUGAUGCGAUUCUUGCAAAUAUGAACGAAACCCUUUCUUAUUAUUAUUUUCUUAAAUUUUCCAUUUAUACCAGUUUAAAAAAAAAGCAUUGUUUUUCUUCUUGGUAAUUAGUGUGAUUAAGUAAACGGAAAUACGGGGUCGAUUUCUCGUAACUGAAGUCAUCGAGACCGAGACGACGGAAUCAUUGCGCCGUGGUGAUGAUGAUUCAUAUCUUUUCCUUCAAUUCGAUCUAAAUAUGCGCAAGCUUUCGCCGAUUACGUUGGUUAGCCUGGUUAGAACGAACAGCGGAAAAUGUCUUUUAGAAGCUUCCUCUUCGUGCAUUCGACUUCUUGUACCGGUUUCAUUUAUUUUCAUCUUCACCGCUACUAUCAUUUCCUCAGUUCAUCAAUUUCAAAUUUGACAUCUACCUGUUUAUAAUUAAUAAUUACAAUUCAAUCUUAAUAAUCAUUUCAAUAUCUAACAAUAAGAAAAAGACAUACAUAUGUAGAUUUACAGAGCAGAACAAAAGUCUAGAAACAAAAUUUUCAGAUUUGACAAUUUUUGACAGUAUUUCUGAUAUGAGUAACACUUUGACAUUUUGGAUUUUUUAAUGCAACACAUUUUGGAACUGCAGUGCAACAACAUAUAAUGCAGAGCUUUAUUGAAGACCUUCAAUAAACUUCAAAUUUAAGAAACGUUGCUAAGAAUGGAUCCCAAUAAAACUAACAGACGACGAGGCAAAUAAAAACAAUUUUUGGUGAUGUUAGGCUCGAAAUAUAGAAUGAAUCGAAGGAUGGUGGAGAUUGGAAGAAACUAGCUAGGUUGGUAAUCCACUUAAAAUUGUAAACGAUUUGUUAAAUUAAAGAUAGGAACGAAGAAACAUUAUAUUUGAAAACAUCAAGAAAGUGAUGAUAAACUGGAUCCACGUAAAUUCACAAAUUUCUGUGAAGAGUAUAGCCCAUCAACAUAAUAUCAAACCUUUAGAAGUCAUUAUUUACCAGUAAUAAGGUUCAUGUUCGCCAUGGAAAAAGGUGUUAAACAAGGAGACAGUUUAUCCUCAUUGCUAUUUGUAGAUUUUAUGGAUGAAGUGAUGAAAACAUGCAAGAAAAGAGCAGAAACUUCGGUGGUCGGCAUUCUCAACCUCAGAUCGGUUAUGUACCAGGCUCUGAAAUAUGCAGAUAAUGUAGUCCUCAUCGCACACUCGGAGAAGAAAUUGCAACAAGCUGUAUUUGAGUGGUCAGAAACUCUAAAGGAGAAGGGCCUGAUAUUGAACAAGGUGAAGACUCAAGUUAUGGUUGUGACUAGGAUAUAGGAACAGGUAUAUAACAUUCACAUCGAAUGUGUUGGUCAACUUCUCACCCAAGUCGGCAGCUAUCAAUAUCUGGGCAUGACAAUCCAUCAGAUGGGCAAGUUUGCCUUACUGAAGAGGUCGGGAACAGAGUGCUCAAGGCUACUAAGGCGUAUGCCCUGAGUCGGUGUGUGUUUAGAAAAGAUGAAAUAAGCCGGAAGGCCAAGACAAGAGUUUAUAAACCCUAUACUUACUUAUGGUGGUGAAAGCUAGACCGCAAAGAGGAAGGACAUCAGUUGAUAUUAUAGAAUGCCUCCGGAGGGUUGCAUGAAAGACACGACGGGAUAGAGUGCGAAACAGCAGUAUUCGAGAAGAACUCAAAUGCAGCUGGUCGAAAGGAUGAUUGAGGAUUGUUUGGCCACGUAAGACGAAUGGGACAGAUAAGUAAACCACGGAUAUACAUGGAGGCCAGCAGAUUGGGACCAGCGGAAGGAAGACUAUGCAGCAGUUCAAAGGUCUUGCUGGGCUUUGAACUUUGUGCCAUCAACUCCCCAACAUACCAGUUGGCCAAAUACCUUGCAAAGAGCCCUAUCUCGCAGUCCUGCACACGCCAAAGCUCUAAGGGCUUCCUUUUGCUAGAUUAAGACCUUGGAAGUUUGAGACGAUGAUCCCCACACAUCGAUGCCAUAUUGAAGUAUGGAAUUAAAGUAGCUGAAGUAGGCGAUUCUAGCAGCUUCAUGCGUUGAGAUAAUCCUUAUUCUUCUGAUGAGGUGGGAAUCUAUGUUGAGACCAAGGAAUUUAAUCGUAUGUCCCGUAUUUGGCUGUCUGUUGCUCGACUUCUUCGGACCUUCCGAUGAGUUCCUGUCUAUUUAUAGAUGUCACCAAGAGCGAAGUAUCAGCGAAUCAAAUCAGCCGUUAAGUUUUGUAGUUCUGUAUGACAUUUCCGACCUCUAUCAAAUCUACUGGUGUGAGGAAAAUAGAACUCGCAAUCGACAUGCUUCUCUUCACGAAGAUUUCCCGACAGAGCACAGGUCCAGGUUCAGAGUGCAUCUGGUUGCCAAUCUCACAAAAAUAAUUAUUAAAGUCAUCCGGAGUUGGACCGUCAUAGUCACAACUGGUGUCUAAUUUCUUUUGAUUUUGGGUAUCUUCCUGAACGUAUCAUCGAAAUCGUUGACCGAAGAGCAUCCGGCUUUCAGUUCCCCUUUCGUCGCUGCGCGUCCAGCAGCGCGAGAGCCGUUUCCGGUGCGGGACUACGUGGUGCGUAUCGCGCUCGCCGAAGAUGGCAGAUACGGUAGGAGCAGCGCUCGGGGCAACUCCAGCGGACCGUGUCUCCCCUCGCCACCUCAUUAAGCCUAACAAUUGCACUUAUUUUCACGGCGAAGAUCACCAACGUAACUCUAGGUACUCUACGCAAGCAUCCAAAACGUCUUUUCAGUCUACUUCUUUUGCUUAUUUAACUUUCCAAAGAAAGAAGUAAAGUUAAAGAAAAUUAGAUUUCUUUAAAUUUUCAUAUCUAUAUCUAAGUUAGGUUUUUAAUGAAAAAUUCCACAGCUUUAAUCUAUUUAUACCAAUUAUUUUCGAAUUGAUCUAUUGAAAGAAUGUUUUAUAAGGUUGAUGGAAGUGGAAUAAACGGCGACAGAUGCAGAUUUAACUGUACAACCAAUUUGAACGGCAGCGCGGGUUCUUCGUCUUUUCUCUUCCGGAGCCGGGUUUUACAAUUAAAUCCGUUUGAAAAGAGCGGAGUCCCGAAGUCCCGCCGACCGUAUGCUACCGCCGCGACUAACAGCAGCGGAAAACCGGGAAUUAGAUGAACGAAUCGUCGUCGUCGUCGUGCCUAGUCACGGCGCGCUGGUUCCUCACCGAGUCGACGGCCUCGAGGUUCCGUUCAGAAGAACCCGCGACGGGUGCACGCGUCUAAAACACCCCUUUUCUUAGUCGCGCUUGGUAAACCAACGGUGAAAAAACCUGUACGUUAAACUUAAAAAGUAUUCGUUUAAAAAUAAAAUUUUUUACACUUUUUACUUCCUUUAAGUUUAAGUCACUACUUGUCAAUUAGACAUAAAUAUGACAUUGACGUAUUUAGGUUAUAAUUUAUAACAUAACCUCUUUGUCGUUAAUUUUUUAUUUUUCAAAGAACGUAAUUAAAAUUUUAAUUCAACCUGAAUAUAAUAAAUUCCAGUAGCGACAAGUUUGUUGCUAUUAAAUGUUAUUAAAAUCUCAUUAACCGUCAAGCGGAAGCGAACGAUGGUGACUACGGUGACAAUUUUAUGGUGUCAUGAUGGUUUAAAUCGAAUUUCACAUAUUUCCCACACCAUCGUUAAUUUUCCCACACCAGAAGAGAUCUAUUAAAACGACCACCCUAUUUCGUUCCGUUUUCAAUUUAUUGCUAUUACCCAAAUCAAUUAAAAACUAAAUUUACAGUUUUGAACGAUUUCCAUUUUGAUUAAGAGGCUAUUACACUAUCUCCCGAUUUACAUUGAAGAUAGGUUUUGUACAAAACAGUGUAAAUUGAAAUCUUGGAUUUUGUUAAGUAAAAUCGUGUUAAACGAAAAAAAAACGUCAUCACUUUCAUGAACUUGAGUUUUCUUGAUGCGAUUCUGACUCAAUGGUUAACGAAAUUUUGCAAAAUCUUUACAGAUUUGUGUCAUAUUGUAUGAAAUGUUGCCCAAUUUUCUUCACAAUUCAAGUCCUAAGCUAAUGAUUCUUGCUGUGCACGCAACUGGUUCAAAUUGCUCUUCAUUCGAAUCAUUGUCUUCAUCAUGUUGGUUUGUUUUAUGAACCAUGUUCAUUAAAUCAUCUUCAUUCAGUUCUUAAACUAUAAACUUGUAAGUUUAAAUGAUCCCUUAAUCUAAUGGCUAUAAUAAAGAAGUUGUAUUCUUCGGUAAAAAGACAACCUUUACAUUUUCGUGUUGUAAAUCUGGAGGAUGAGCUGGAGCAUUAUCAAUUAAUACAACGGUAAUCCCUUGUUCAUUGAAAGCUGUGGCAGCCAUCCAAUAGACGGGAAAGUUUUUGCAUUGCAACAGAAAAGAACUUUUCACUACUUUAUGACCACUAGCUGAUUUGUGAGCUUUAGCUAUGAAGGUUUUUGCUGGCAUUCUUUUUGUUCUUCAAAUCCUUUGCACUAUAGAACCUUAGACACAUAUGGCUUAACAAACAAUAUAAUAAAAUCAGUAAUAGAACAGUAUACGGUCAAUCUUAAUAUUAUGUUCAAUAAAUGUGUCAGCGAUGGAAUUUUUCCUUCAGAGUUCAAGACAGCGAGAGUCCUGCCAUUAUAUAAGAAGGGUGAUAAAAAGGACUAUAACAAUUAUAGACCUAUAUCAAUUUUGCCCGUUAUCUCCAAGAUAUUUGAAAGAUUAAUAGCAAGAUGGUUGGUGGAAUACUUUAAGACCAAUAAAUAUUUUGCGACCAGUCCCCACGGGUACCAAUUAGGCAAAUCGGUAAUGACGGCUGUUUCUGAAGUAAUUGCCUUUAUAACGAAAGCACACGAUGAGCAAAAUGUGGUUCAGAUCGACCUGCUGGACCUCAGUAAGGCAUUCGAUACCAUCAGCCACUCCAUUCUCCUGAGUAAACUUCAGUUUUAUGGUAUUAGAGGUCUAUAACUAAAUUUAAUAAGAUCUUAUUUGAUGGACAGACAACAAUAUGUUGAGUAUAAUGGUAAUAGAUCGUCUAGUGUAAAAAUCAAACAUGGUGUUCCUCAGGGGUCUGUUCUUAGACCUCUCCUGUUUAUCAUCUGCCUUCCAACAUUAUUGAAGAAACAUAUUUAUAUGCUGAUGAUACAUCCAUCGUAUUAAAGGACACUACAAAGGAUAAAUCACAAGAAGCUAUAGUGUCCACUCAAGAAUGGUUCAGUAAAAAUCUGCUCAAACUAAACAGUGAAAAAACAGAACAUAUAGUGUUGGAGACCACUCGACGUGGGAGGGAAUCUACAACUUUAAAAUUUUUGGGUAUGCAUCUAGACAGCGGAAUGACGUGGCAAGUACACUUGAAGCAUCUGAGGACUAGGCGGACUUCUGCUAUCUUUACAAUACGAAGACUAAAACAAGUAACCCCUCGCCAGGCAGCGAGGUUGUCAUACUUUGCAUCUCUUCACUCGGUGGCGUCGUAUGGUGUUCUUUUCUGGGGUGGGGCAUCUGAUUUUCUGAACUUCCUUGAUUUCCAUAGCUAUCUGACAAGAUCACGACACCAAUAUCAGGUACCGUACCUCAGAAUUGCAUCAACGCAAAAGUAUGUGGAUUACUGGGGUCCAAAACUCUAUAACCAACUACCACCGCAGCUGAUUGCGCUGUCUAGGGAACGGUUUAAGAGGAAAAUAAAAGAAUAUUUGAUGGAGAACGUUUUCUAUUCGUGCGAGGAAUAUCUCACGACAGUUCAGUCUCACAAUUUUAAUGCGUAAUGUGUAGUGUGUAAUUGCCAUGAAAUGUAUAUUUGUAUUAUUAAUAUUUCAUUCUACUUCUUAUGUAUUCAAUAACGUUUUGUAGUAAUGGUUUGUAUGUAUGUAUGUAGGAAAGCGGAGGGUAUGCUACGCACACAGCACCUAGGCCCCAACGGGCCCCUUGUACAUUCUUCUACACUGUCUCCGGCUACAUCAACCAGCCUAAGGAAUUUCCGAAGGCUAGGAUACA